Molecule: small nuclear RNA, 166 nt
Filed under: Myotis brandtii (Brandt's bat)
Lineage: Eukaryota; Metazoa; Chordata; Mammalia; Chiroptera; Vespertilionidae
Description: U1 spliceosomal RNA
Rfam family: U1 spliceosomal RNA
About the family: U1 is a small nuclear RNA (snRNA) component of the spliceosome (involved in pre-mRNA splicing).
Source: Rfam by way of RNAcentral
UUCCUUACCUGGUAGGGGAGAUACCAGGAUCACCAAGGUCUUUUUUCCCAGGGGGAGGCUCACCCCAUUGUAAUCCUGGAGUGCUAACCCCUGCGAUUUCCACAAAUGCAGGAAACUCGACUGCAUAAUUUGUGGUAGUGGGAGACUGCAUUUGUGCUUUCCCCUA